UAUGCACACUAUUAAAGCCGGGCACCGAUGUCGGUGUUCAGGUGUCGGACGUGUGCGAUAGUGAGCAGGCCGGGUUUUCGCUAACACCAUUAGGACAACUGUCCCAUGACUGGAGUUUGAUAGUGACCUGUGCCACAGUU
Sebastes umbrosus (honeycomb rockfish) is the source of this 140-nucleotide small nucleolar RNA. The record is from RefSeq and is a predicted model, not a curated record. NCBI's taxonomy places the organism in Eukaryota, Metazoa, Chordata, Actinopteri, Perciformes, Sebastidae.